UAGAUUAAAAAAUUGUUUUUCACGAAGUUGGAGGAGCUAGUUAUUAUAUAUUUAUAGAUAAAUAAGUGUUGCAAAACCAGUCAAAUAGUAAUUAGGAGUGAUAGGCUUACCAUAUCCAACGAUAACUUGUUGAUUUUAAAAUGUAAAAGUACAAAGACACCCUUGAAGUGAUAAGGCUAUAAGGGUCAAAUUAAUUUUUAUAAUUUUUAAGUAUAUUAUUUAAUCGUUAAUACAUAUAAUAUUUAAUUAUUAAUUUAACUUCAUUAUUUUUUAUAAAAAUCUAUAAACUAAUUGCGAGAAUUAUAAAUAAUGUUGAUAUUAGUAAUGUAAAUAUUAAUAAUGAACUCGGCAACAAGCCUUUCAACUGUUUAUCAAAAACAUAGCUAUAUGAAUUAAUAUAUAGUAUUUUCUGCUCAAUGAAUAUUUAAAUAGCCGCAGUACCCUGACUGUGCUAAGGUAGCGCAAUCAAUUGACUUUUAAAUGAAGUCCUGUAUGAAAGAAAUCAUGGAGGGCUACUCUCUCAUUAAUAAUAAAUGAAUUUACUUAGGGAGUGCAAAUUCUUCCAUUUAAAUAAUAGACGAGAAGACCCUAGAAAUUUUGAGAGAAAACUUUUUGUUGGGGCAACAAAGUAGCAAAGUAAUCUACUAUUAUUACUUGAAAUAACUAAUUGGAAAGAUUAAAUUACUCUAGGGAUAACAGCAUAAUUUGAAAGAGUUUGUGACCUCGAUGUUGGAUUAGGGAAUUUCCGUUUAGAAG
This 756-nucleotide ribosomal RNA is filed under the name Austrochloritis sp. AM C.582408. Its description in RNAcentral is "partial large subunit ribosomal RNA". The record is from RNAcentral. Lineage: Eukaryota; Metazoa; Mollusca; Gastropoda; Stylommatophora; Camaenidae.